GACGAACGCUGGCGGCGUGCCUAAUACAUGCAAGUCGAACGCUUCUUUCCUCCCGUGUGCUUGCACUCAAUUGGAAAGAGGAGUGGCGGACGGGUGAGUAACACGUGGGUAACCUACCCAUCAGAGGUGGAUAACACUUGGAAACAGGUGCUAAAAACGUAUAACAGUUUAUGUCGUAUGGCAUAAGAGUGUUAGGCCAUUUCGGGUGUCGCUGAUGGAUGGACCCGCGGUGCAUUAGCUAGUUGGUGAGGUAACGGCUCACCAAGGCCACGUUGCAUAGCCGACCUGAGAGGUUGAUCGGCCACACUGGGACUAAGAACCGGCCCAGACCCCAACGGGAGGCAGCAUCGGGAAAUCUUCGGCAAUGGAGGAAAGUCUGACCGAGCAACGCCGCGGGAGUGAGGACGUUUUUCGGAUCUUAAAACUCUGUUGUUAAAGAAGAACAAGGUCGUAAGUGACUGAACGUCCCCUGACGGUAUCUAACCAGAGAGCGACGGCUAACUACGUG
This 508-nucleotide ribosomal RNA is filed under the name uncultured bacterium. RNAcentral describes it as "partial 16S ribosomal RNA". It matches the Rfam family "Bacterial small subunit ribosomal RNA", at positions 28 to 507 of the family's 1533-position model. The record is from RNAcentral.